ACACGUGUGCAGGUGUGUCAGGGGUGCACACACAUGUGCAGGUGUGUCAGGGGUGCACACGUGUGCAGGUGUGUCAGGGGUGCACACACGUGUUCAGGUGUGUCAGGUGCACACACGUGUGUGCAGGUGUGUCAGGGGCACACACAUGUGCAGGUGUGUCAGGGGUGCACACACAUGUUUAGGUGUGUCAGGGGCACACACACGUGUGCAGGUGUGUCAGGGGUGCACACACGUGUUCAGGUGUGUCAGGGGCACACACAUGUGCAGGUGUGUCAGGGGUGCACACACAUGUGCAGGUGUGUCAGGGGCACACACACGUGUGCAGGUGUGUUGGGUACACACACAUGUGCAGGUGUGUCAGGGGCACACACGUGUGCAGGUGUG
Myiozetetes cayanensis is the source of this 384-nucleotide long non-coding RNA. RefSeq lists it as uncharacterized. The transcript is spliced from 3 exons. The record is from RefSeq and is a predicted model, not a curated record. NCBI's taxonomy places the organism in Eukaryota, Metazoa, Chordata, Aves, Passeriformes, Tyrannidae.